This 253-nucleotide unclassified non-coding RNA is filed under the name uncultured Verrucomicrobiota bacterium. RNAcentral's name for it is "uncultured Verrucomicrobia bacterium contains 16S-23S intergenic spacer region". It matches the Rfam family "Bacterial small subunit ribosomal RNA", at positions 524 to 776 of the family's 1533-position model. The record is from RNAcentral. Lineage: Bacteria; Pseudomonadati; Verrucomicrobiota.
UACAGAGGUCCCGAGCGUUGUUCGGAUUCACUGGGCGUAAAGGGUGUGUAGGUGGCCGAGAAAGUCUGAUGUGAAAGCUCCGGGCUCAACCCGGAAAUUGCAUUGGAAACUGUUUGGCUAGAGGGUCGGAGGGGAGACUGGAAUUCUCGGUGUAGCAGUGAAAUGCGUAGAUAUCGAGAGGAACACCGGUGGCGAAGGCGAGUCUCUGGACGACACCUGACACUGAGGCACGAAAGCUAGGGGAGCAAACAGG